UUCACAAUCAAUUGGUUGGGGUGGAACAAAUGCACAAAGAUACGAAGUAUGUUUUAUUCCUUGACGACGAUGUUAGGUUGCACCCUGGGUCAAUUGGGGCCCUUACUACUGAAAUGGAGAAGAAUCCAGAGAUCUUUAUUCAAACAGGAUAUCCUCUUGAUUUACCAUCUGGAACUUUGGGAAGUUACUGCAUUUAUGGAUACCACAUGCCAUGUUCAAUGGGAUUUGCUACUGGUGGAAAAACAUUCUUUCUGUGGGGAGGAUGCAUGAUGAUGCAUGCAAACGAUUUUAGAACCGACCGCCAUUGUGUAGUGUCAGGGCUUCGAG
This 327-nucleotide unclassified non-coding RNA is filed under the name Hevea brasiliensis (rubber tree). The record is from RNAcentral. Lineage: Eukaryota; Viridiplantae; Streptophyta; Magnoliopsida; Malpighiales; Euphorbiaceae.